UAAAAAGUUACUCUAAGAGCAUAUGAUGGAUGCCUAGACGUAUUGUUACCGAUUAAGGACGUAGAAGGCUGCGAUAAGCCUCGGGAAGCUGCCAAUCAAGCUUUGAUCCGGGGAUUUCCGAAUGGGGCAACCCAAUCCCGGUAAUGCGGGAUUACCAUUAGCUGAAUACAUAGGCUAAUUGGAGGGAACCGGGGGAACUGAAACAUCUCAGUACCUCGAGGAAAAGAAAACAACCGUGAUUCCCUAAGUAGCGGCGAGCGAACGGGGAACAGCCCAAACCUAUAGAUUUUCCAAUCCGGCAGCUGCCGGAGGUUUACUGAGUUAAUAAAUUUAAGGUGUUGUAAGUUUGCGGAUGACCACUAAAGUUUUUAGCCCAAUGACUAUUAGUCUUUGUACUAAUGCUCAUUAGCUAAAACUUCAGUGUGACCACUUUUCAGUUUAAGUGGAUGAAGUUACAAAAUGAAGUGAUUAAUGGAAGGCGCCUGGAAAGGACCACCAUAGAGCGUGAUAGUCGCGUACAUAAAAACACUUCGUCUUUAUAUCCGUUUUCUUGAGUAGGACGGGACACGUGAAACCCUGUCUGAAUCCGCCCCGACCACGGGGCAAGGCUAAAUAUAACAUACGAUCGAUAGUGAACUAGUACCGUGAGGGAAAGGUGAAAAGUACCCCGCAAGGGGAGUGAAAUAGAAUCCUGAAAUCAUAUGCUUACAAUGAGUGGGAGUCCCGACUUGUCGGGAUGACCGCGUGCUUUUUGUAGAACGAUCCAGCGAGUUAAUUUAUGUAGCUUGGUUAAGCUUUAGAACAAGCGGAGCCGUAGUGAAAGCGAGCGUUAAUAGCGCGCCCGUCAUUUGGCGGAUUGUUGCAUGAAUUAGACCCGAAACCGAGUGAUCUAACCAUGGGCAGGCUGAAGCGUCGGUAAAACGGCGUGAAGGGCCGAACCAGUGCGUGAUGCAAUACGCUUGGAUGACCUGUGGUUAGCGGUGAAAUGCUAAUCGAACUCGGAGAUAGCUGGUUCUCCCCGAAAUAGCUUUAGGGCUAGCGUCAUAAACUAGCUUUCGGAGGUAGAGCUCUGAAUGGGUUAGGACCUUUUUAAGGUACCAAGCCCAAUCAAACUUCAAAUGCCGAAAGUAAAUAUUAUGGCAGUCAGAAAGUGGGGGCUAAGCUCCAUUUUCAAAAGGGAAACAACCCAGAUCGCCAUCUAAGGUCCCCAAAUUUAUGCUAAGUGGGAAACGAUGUGAAAUUGCUUGGACAACCAGGAUGUUGGCUUAGAAGCAGCCAUGCAUUUAAAGAGUGCGUAACAGCUCACUGGUCAAGUGAUUUUGCGCGGAAAAUAUAACGGGGCUCAAGCAUAGUACCGAAGAUGCGACUUCCGCCUUUGGCGGAGGGGUAGGGGAGCGUUCCUCGUGCGCUGAAGUCCCGACGUGAGUCGGGAUGGAGCGCGGGGAAGUGAGAAUGCUGGAAUGAGUAACCAUAAGGCAAGUGAGAAUCUUGCCCACCGUAAGACCAAGGUUUCCUGGGCAACGUUUAUCGACCCAGGGUUAGUCGGUCCUAAGCCGAGGCGGAUAGCGUAGGCGAUGGACAACAGGUUAAUAUUCCUGUACCGGUGAUAUUGUUGCUUAAGUAAGACGCAGAAUGGUAGCCUGAGCGGACUUUUGGUUAUGUCCGUCUAAGUAUGUAGUCCCCGAUUUAUCGGGGGUGAAACACAAAUGAAAUCCCUGCAAAGGGAAAUUCGGGUAAGCCAAGCUGACCAGAAAAUUACUUAAGUUUAUAGAUAUUACCGACCGUACCGCAAACCAACUCAGGUGGUCGGGUAUAAGAGUACCAAGGUGUUCGGGAGAACCCUCGUUAAGGAACUCGGCAAAACAGCGGCCGUAACUUCGGGAUAAGGCCUGCCUCGGCGCUCUUCACUGCGUGAAGAGCCGCUAGAGAUUAGGAGCUGGAAGCUAGAGGCUAGAGUUUCUAAAAAAAAUAAAAAACAAGCUUCAAGCUUCGGACUCCGAACUUCAAGCUCACGCGUAGCGAUGAGCGUCGGGGCCGCAGCGAAAGAACCCAUGCGACUGUUUAUCAAAAACACAGGUCUGUGCUAACACGAAAGUGGAUGUAUACGGGCUGACGCCUGCCCAGUGCCGGAAGGUUAAGUAGCGGAGUGCAAGCUCCAAAAUGAAGCCCCGGUGAACGGCGGCGGUAACUAUAACCGUCCUAAGGUAGCGAAAUUCCUUGUCGGGUAAGUUCCGACCCGCACGAAUGGCGUAACGAUAUGGGUACUGUCUCAACGAGGGACCCGGUGAAAUUGCAAUAGCGGUAAAGAUGCCGUUUACCCGCACCAAGACGGAAAGACCCCGUGCAGCUUUACUACAGCUUGGCAUUGUGUCUGGCUUGAGUUUGUAUAGUAUAGGUGGGAGACUUUGAAGCUCCGGCGCUAGCCGGAGUGGAGUCAUCAGUGAAAUACCACCCUAACUUAAGCUUGGCUCUAACCCCGGCCGCAAUAUGCGCAUAUAUUUCAUGUGCUCAUAUUCCGGUCGGGGAACAGUGUCUGGUGGGUAGUUUAACUGGGGCGGUUGCCUCCUAAAGAGUAACGGAGGCGUUCAAAGGUUGGCUAGGUUUGGAUGGAAAUCAAACCGAUAGUGCAAACGCAUAAGCCAGCUUGACUGCGAGACCUACAAGUCAAGCAGGUACGAAAGUAGGAGUUAGUGACCCACUGCAUUUUCCGACGUAAGUCGGAAUUGAGAGUGGAAUCGGCAGUGCUCAACGGAUAAAAGCUACGCCGGGGAUAACAGGCUUAUAGCGCCCAAUAGUCCACAUAGACGGCGCUGUUUGGCACCUCGAUGUCGGCUCGUCUCAUCCUGGAGGGGAAGCACCUUCCAAGGGUAUGGCUGUUCGCCAUUUAAAGAGGUACGCGAGCUGGGUUCAGAACGUAAAUUACAUUGCGCUCUACUACUGAGAAGUAGUAAAAUACUGAUGUACAUCGCAUCUACAGUAUUAAAUCCGACUAUAUCGGUGAAACCCUACUGGAUCAUUCGAACGGAUCCAAGGGCAAUACCGAGGGAAGAUUAUUUGAUGUCAAAUGAAGAAAUAGCCUAUAUAGCUGGUUUUUUGGAUGGUGACGGAUCAAUAAUGGCUCAACUUGUAUAUCGUAAAGAUUACAAGUUAGGUUAUCAGAUUCGUACCAGCGUUGUUUUUUAUCAAAAAAGCAACCAUAAAGACUAUCUUCUGUGGUUACAGAAGCAGCUAGAUUAUGGAUAUGUUCGUGAUCGUAAUGACGGCAUGAGCGAAUACACCAUAGUUGGUUUUAGAGAAGUGAAAUUUGUAUUGAAACUUCUACAUCCCUUUCUUCGUUUAAAGAAAAAUCUUGCAUCUGAAGUGUUGAGUAUUAUAAACCAGCACCCCAAAAAGCUUAGUACUGCAAAGUUACUAAGCUUGGCAGUAUUGGUAGAUAAAACAGCUCGUUUCAACUAUUCGAAACGGCGCACCAAUACUUCAGAGGUAGUGAGAGAAUUUCUUGUAAAACAACAUUUAAUCCCCGUAGAGACUGAUUCUCGAAAUAGACCAUCGAGAUGAGAUUGGCCAGUUUACUGGCAGAUCAUACGUCGGCCCCUAGCUACAUACAAAGUAGAAGGGUGAAGAUAUAGUCCAUGCCACUCGUAAUAGUGGAUAUGGCCGUGCAAUUGCACGAUUUGUAACGAGAUAGCAUCAAACUUACAAAUUAUCACUUUUAAGUGAUGGUCUCAUGCGUGAGACAGUUCGGUCCCUAUCUGGUGUGGGCGUAAGGAAAUUUGAGGGAAGCUGCUUCUAGUACGAGAGGACCGAAGUGGACGAACCUCUGGUGUACCGGUUGUCGCACCUGCGGCAUUGCCGGGUAGCUACGUUCGGACGGGAUAAACGCUGAAAGCAUAUAAGCGUGAAGCCCCUCCCAAGAUUAGAUUUCCCCAUUAGACUCCAUGUAGACUACGUGGUUGAUAGGCACUAGGUGUAAGUUCGGUAACGGAUUCAGCCGAGGUGUACUAAUAGUCGAUUGACUUUUUACU
This 4025-nucleotide ribosomal RNA is filed under the name bacterium. RNAcentral's name for it is "23S ribosomal RNA". The stretch from base 6 to 2959 matches the Rfam family "Bacterial large subunit ribosomal RNA". The record is from RNAcentral.